RNAcentral lists this ribosomal RNA (334 nucleotides) under uncultured eukaryote. RNAcentral's name for it is "partial 18S ribosomal RNA". It matches the Rfam family "Eukaryotic small subunit ribosomal RNA", at positions 1470 to 1796 of the family's 1831-position model. The record is from RNAcentral.
CCCUUAGAUGUCCGGGGCCGCACGCGCGCUACACUGAAGGAAUCAGCGUGGCUUUCUCCCUGACCCGAAAGGGUUGGGACACCCGUUGAAUCUCCUUCGUGAUAGGGAUUGGGGCUUGAAAUUGUUCCCCAUGAACGAGGAAUUCCCAGUAAGCGCGAGUCAUAAGCUCGCGUUGAUUACGUUCCUGCCCUUUGUACACACCGCCCGUCGCUACUACCGAUUGAACGGUUUAGUGAGGGCCUCGGAUUGGUCUCGGCCCGCUCUUUACCGGGCGGCGCCGUUGGUCGAGAAGACGCUCGAACUUGAUCGUUUAGAGGAAGUAAAAGUCGUAACA